This 690-nucleotide ribosomal RNA is filed under the name Triticum aestivum (bread wheat). RNAcentral describes it as "partial small subunit ribosomal RNA". The record is from RNAcentral. Lineage: Eukaryota; Viridiplantae; Streptophyta; Magnoliopsida; Poales; Poaceae.
AUGCCGCUAUGUCGGUGUUGGAGCUGCGGAAAGACGUCACACCGCUAUUAUCUAUGUCCCAAGGUGAUAAAUCCAACACUCUUAACGCAAUUUCGUCCUAUUAGCUUAUGUAAUGUCAUAUACAAAAUUGCUUCCAAAGUUGUUGCGAACAGGUUGAAACUUAUCCUGCCAGAGAUAAUAUCAGAGGAGCAAUCAGCGUUCGUCCCAGGUCGGUUGAUAACUGACAAUAUUAUAUGUUUUAUGAAGAGAAGCAAAGCCAAAACAAAUAGCCAUUGUGCGUUGAAGUUGGACAUGAUGAAGGCAUAUGACAGAUUAGAAUGGCCGUACCUCAAGGCUAUCAUGAUCAAAUUGGGUUUUGCACAACAAUGGGUACAUAUCAUAAUGAGUAUGAUCAGUUCAAUAUCCUUUUUAGUUCUAUUCAACGGAGAGAAGCUUGAAUCUUUCAAACCAUCACGAGGUAUUCGACGGGGAGAUCCGAUCUCCCCCUAUCUUUUCUUGAUCACAACAGAGGGCCUUUCGUGCCUUCUAAAAACCAGUUCUCAGUCAUCUGCGCUUGAGGGGAUUAACGUGGCAAACACAGCUCCGACUGUCAACCACCUCCUCUUUGCGGAUGACAGCCCGUUGUUGUUCAAGGCUAGUACAGAGGGGGCAGUUGAGGUCUCUAACCUUUUGGAGGUAUAUUGUAAUUAA